GGCGAGAUGGCCGAGCGGUCCAAGGCGCUCGUUGUAGGCACCAGUCCCUUCGGGGGCCUGGGUUCGAAUCCCACUCUCGUCA
RNAcentral lists this transfer RNA (82 nucleotides) under Angiostrongylus costaricensis. It matches the Rfam family "tRNA". Rfam says of the family: Transfer RNA (tRNA) molecules are approximately 80 nucleotides in length. Their secondary structure includes four short double-helical elements and three loops (D, anti-codon, and T loops). The record is from Rfam by way of RNAcentral. Lineage: Eukaryota; Metazoa; Nematoda; Chromadorea; Rhabditida; Metastrongylidae.